GGGUCGUUAGCUCAGUUGGUAGGGCAGUUGACUUUUCAUCAAUUGGUCGCAGGUUCGAAUCCUGCACGACCCCCCA
Molecule: transfer RNA, 76 nt
Filed under: Escherichia coli
Lineage: Bacteria; Pseudomonadati; Pseudomonadota; Gammaproteobacteria; Enterobacterales; Enterobacteriaceae
Description: tRNA-Lys
Rfam family: tRNA
About the family: Transfer RNA (tRNA) molecules are approximately 80 nucleotides in length. Their secondary structure includes four short double-helical elements and three loops (D, anti-codon, and T loops).
Source: RNAcentral